GGGCAAUUCUCUCGCCUCAUACAAACACCUCUGCACACUCCGCCCAAGCAGCACAAGGCACUCUCCACAAUGGCCCCCUCGCAGGUCAACGUCUAGCAUCUCAAUGAGGUCACUGUCAGCGCACACCGUCUUACUUAUCUCUUCCGCCAUCCUCUUCCACACGUCCCUGGCCAUAGGGAAUCUCACGCACGUAUGCGCAUGCUCGUCCUCCUCCAUGGGUCCAUUCAGGAUCUGCUUCAGCCCUGAUAACCUUGCGCUAUGGAGCGCGACUAGCUUGCUAGCCGAAGUGCGGCCCAUCAAUAUCCUGGCAUCUUCUGGCCAUUGUGACGGUGGCAUCCUGACCGCUUUGAUACUAGCCAACCUCGCCAGAUCUCCAAAUUUGAAGAAGCUGGCCAUUGAAUAGACAUGCACAGGACUCUCAUCUACCCAAUGUACCAUAUGGUCUCUUGCGAUGCUGAGCGCUUUUGCACUUUGGUACCCCAAUGCAGCGCGAACAACUCGACCCGUCAACUCAAGCGAUGUCAGGAGGCUCGUGGGGGAGGCAGAAAUGAUCCCUGAAGGGUAAAUCAAAGAGAGAAAGGAGGUGAGCACGAUGGAGGAUUCUGGUACAGCCCAGGUGUAUGGGGAUGAGGUAGGUGUAGGUGCUGUAACGUCUUUUGGAGGGGGAGGAGGCGGAAGGUCUUGGAAUGCUGGAGGAGAUGGAUCAUCACAUGGACUAUUCCCGUUCUUUCGCUGGUGCGAAGUUAACAAGGAAGCUACCCCUGGAGAUCGGGAUAAAUGAGCUGCAAGAAGUUUCGGGAGACAGAGGAUAUUGCUAAGCGGCGUAGCGUCACGCUCCCGAGACUGAGCCGAGCGAUGAGAGUUGGAUGGCAGCUCGAUUGGUACUGCACGAGGCUGAGUCGAUUGUGUCGAUCUAACAUUGUUCAACCGCCACACUGGGACAAACCCAUAGCUACGCAACUUUUUGUCAGCUGCUUCAAUCGUCUUUCGAAACGAGAUCUCGAGAUUCACUAGAUGUGAAAGAAGACAGUCUCCUGCUCCAGUAAUUUUCUGUGUACCAAGAAUCUCUUGCCAUCCACGGUCACAAGCUCGAUAUCACCCACUUUGCCUCCCAAAACUGGUGCAAGGAAAAAAUCGGUAUCACGAUUAGGCAGGGCAGAGUACGCCGGGGCCGGUUCAGAGGGGAUGGCAGGAGACGGAGGGCGGAUGGGAUCAAAGAUGUUGGACAGAGAUUUGUCGGAUGGGUGCUGAGAGUUUUCGUGCAUUGGUUGACUUUCUUUCAAUGCUGUGCUUAAGCAAGAUUGAAACUUAAGCUUCGGGUAAAUUGGUGUUUUGCUGAGAUUUUGAAAGCUCAGCCAAGAGACUAUGAUGUUCAGCAAAGCCAAAAGGAAAGUGAAUAGUCAAGCUGCUUAUUCCAAGCGUCAUUUCCAUCCAUUGGGUCGCUUUUCUAUAACAGGUCGUGAGGGGGCAUGCUUUGUCCCCCUUCAAAAGGUUGCCGCACAAAGAGAACCGUUCAUAUCCUUUGCGCAUUUGCUCCUUCUUUUUUUCUGCUUGUAUGUUGAUUUGUUGUGGCUUGAUAAAGGAGACAAGGGAUCCGUUAUGCACUCGGCUUGAACGAACUCGCACAGGAGAAGCGUGUUGGGAGAAGGGGGAUGGUGAAAGGAUGAGGUGUGUGGCAUUAUGGAAGAAACGACAUCAUCGACAGCAAUGAAUGGAACGAAAUGCAGUCCGUGUAAAGGUGACAAUUGGCAUCGUCCUUUGUACCAAUGUCCGUUUUUAGUCUUAAAACCAACACAUAGGCCGUUUCGCCAUUUCAUCCCCACCCGCAAAGUUGGGAAUCACCUUGGAGCAGAAAUAAGCACGAGGUUAUUAACCCCACCCUAUAGCAAGGGCCGGGACUUCAUGGAAGUAUAAAGUAUUUAUAUGAUAUGGAGAUGUAGUGUUUAUACAGAUGAACUGAAGAUAUGAAAGAAAC
RNAcentral lists this small RNA (1975 nucleotides) under Cryptococcus neoformans H99. RNAcentral's name for it is "Cryptococcus neoformans var. grubii H99 hypothetical RNA". Lineage: Eukaryota; Fungi; Basidiomycota; Tremellomycetes; Tremellales; Cryptococcaceae. The record is from RNAcentral.